UAAGGAAUAUUGGUCAAUGGAGGCAACUCUUAACCAGCCAUGCCGCGUGCAGGAAGACGGCCCUCUGGGUUGUAAACUGCUCUUAUUCGGGAAUAAACCUAUCUACGUGUAGAUAGCUGAAUGUACCGAAGGAAUAAGGAUCGGCUAACUCCGUGCCAGCAGCCGCGGUAAUACGGAGGAUCCAAGCGUUAUCCGGAUUUAUUGGGUUUAAAGGGUGCGUAGGCGGCUUAUUAAGUCAGGGGUGAAAGCCGGUGGCUCAACCAUCGCAGUGCCCUUGAUACUGAUGAGCUUGAAUGGACUAGAGGUAGGCGGAAUGUGACAAGUAGCGGUGAAAUGCGUAGAUAUGUCACAGAACACCGAUUGCGAAGGCAGCCUACUAUGGUUUAAUUGACGCUGAGGCACGAAAGCGUGGGGAUCAAACA
This 422-nucleotide ribosomal RNA is filed under the name uncultured bacterium. RNAcentral describes it as "bacterial SSU rRNA". It matches the Rfam family "Bacterial small subunit ribosomal RNA", at positions 355 to 774 of the family's 1533-position model. The record is from RNAcentral.